UACAGAGGGUGCGAGCGUUGUUCGGAAUUAUUGGGCGUAAAGGGCGCGUAGGCGGUGCGGUAAGUCACCUGUGAAAUCUCCUGGCUCAACUGGGAGCUUGCAGGCGAAACUGCCGUGCUGGAGUGUGGGAGAGGUGAGUGGAAUUCCCGGUGUAGCGGUGAAAUGCGUAGAUAUCAGGAGGAACACCAGUGGCGAAGGCGGCUUCCUGGACACCAACUGACGCUGAGACGCGAAAGCGUGGGGAGCAAACAGG
RNAcentral lists this ribosomal RNA (253 nucleotides) under uncultured bacterium. RNAcentral's name for it is "partial 16S ribosomal RNA". It matches the Rfam family "Bacterial small subunit ribosomal RNA", at positions 524 to 776 of the family's 1533-position model. The record is from RNAcentral.